This 680-nucleotide ribosomal RNA is filed under the name uncultured bacterium. RNAcentral describes it as "bacterial SSU rRNA". It matches the Rfam family "Bacterial small subunit ribosomal RNA", at positions 8 to 703 of the family's 1533-position model. The record is from RNAcentral.
AGAGUUUGAUCCUGGCUCAGGAUGAACGCUGACAGAAUGCUUAACACAUGCAAGUCGACUGGAAUUCUUCUUCGGAAGAUAGUACGGUGGCGGACGGGUGAGUAACGCGUAAAGAAUUUGCCCUUCAGACUGGGACAACUAACCGAAAGGUUAGCUAAUACCGGAUAUUACGAGACCUUGGCAUCAAGGACUUAUGAAAGCUAUAUGCGCUGGAGGAGAACUUUGCGUCCCAUUAGGUAGUUGGUAGGGUAAUGGCCUACCAAGCCGACGAUGGGUAGCCGGCCUGAGAGGGUGAACGGCCACAAGGGGACUGAGACACGGCCCUUACUCCUACGGGAGGCAGCAGUGGGGAAUAUUGGACAAUGGACCAAAAGUCUGAUCCAGCAAUUCUGUGUGCACGAUGAAGGUCUUCGGAUUGUAAAGUGCUUUCAGGUGGGAAGAAGAAAGUGACGGUACCACCAGAAGAAGCGACGGCUAAAUACGUGCCAGCAGCCGCGGUAAUACGUAUGUCGCAAGCGUUAUCCGGAAUUAUUGGGCGUAAAGCGAGUCUAGGCGGCUUGUUAAGUCAGAUGUGAAAAUGCGGGGCUCAACUCCGUAUUGCGUUUGAAACUGGCAGGCUAGAGUACUGGAGAGGUGGGCGGAACUACAAGUGUAGAGGUGAAAUUCGUAGAUAUUUGUAG